CCCCCCCCCCCCCCCCCCCCCCCCCCCCCCCCCCCCCCCCCCCCCCCCCCCCCCCCCCCCCCCCCCCCCCCCCCCCCCCCCCCCCCCCCCUCGCCCCCACCAGCUGCCCCCUUCCCGGUAGCCAAGGCAGAUUCUUCACCUGGUGCUGCUCCCCGUCCUGGAUAAGGCCGCGUGGUGUGAUGGCAGCCGGUGAUGCAGCCGCUUUGGCGGUGAAGCGAGUAAUGCCGCGUGUAGCAAUAACAUCGCCGGUGGUGCUUGCGGCUCAAGGUUUGGAAAAGAAA
Molecule: long non-coding RNA, 281 nt
Filed under: Ficedula albicollis (Collared flycatcher)
Lineage: Eukaryota; Metazoa; Chordata; Aves; Passeriformes; Muscicapidae
Description: lncRNA (ENSFALG00000023991.1)
Source: RNAcentral